Molecule: ribosomal RNA, 506 nt
Filed under: Streptomyces sp. biomcc16
Lineage: Bacteria; Bacillati; Actinomycetota; Actinomycetes; Kitasatosporales; Streptomycetaceae
Description: bacterial SSU rRNA
Rfam family: Bacterial small subunit ribosomal RNA
Source: RNAcentral
GUCUAAUACCGGAUAUCACUCUCGCAGGCAUCUGUGAGGGUCGAAAGCUCCGGCGGUGAAGGAUGAGCCCGCGGCCUAUCAGCUUGUUGGUGAGGUAAUGGCUCACCAAGGCGACGACGGGUAGCCGGCCUGAGAGGGCGACCGGCCACACUGGGACUGAGACACGGCCCAGACUCCUACGGGAGGCAGCAGUGGGGAAUAUUGCACAAUGGGCGAAAGCCUGAUGCAGCGACGCCGCGUGAGGGAUGACGGCCUUCGGGUUGUAAACCUCUUUCAGCAGGGAAGAAGCGAAAGUGACGGUACCUGCAGAAGAAGCGCCGGCUAACUACGUGCCAGCAGCCGCGGUAAUACGUAGGGCGCAAGCGUUGUCCGGAAUUAUUGGGCGUAAAGAGCUCGUAGGCGGCUUGUCACGUCGGGUGUGAAAGCCCGGGGCUUAACCCCGGGUCUGCAUUCGAUACGGGCUAGCUAGAGUGUGGUAGGGGAGAUCGGAAUUCCUGGUGUAGCGG